Molecule: non-coding RNA, 104 nt
Filed under: human gut metagenome
Description: SAM riboswitch (S box leader)
Rfam family: SAM riboswitch aptamer (S box leader)
About the family: The SAM riboswitch is found upstream of a number of genes which code for proteins involved in methionine or cysteine biosynthesis in Gram-positive bacteria. The SAM riboswitch acts at the level of transcription termination control.
Source: RNAcentral
CUUAUCAAGAGAGACGGAGGGAAAGGCCCUGUGAAGUCCAGCAACCGGAACAGUCCGGUGCUAAAUCCUUCGGCGGACGAUAAAGCGUCCGGCCGGCAGAUGAG